CCUUGAGUUCCAUCAUUUCGGAGACCCAUGUGGUUGAAAGGUGGAGCUGACGCCCACAGAUUGUAGAAUGAAUAAAAACUGUAAAGACAGAUUUUCCUCCACACUCAAUGCCUAACUAGAAUGAGUAGAAAACUAGACAGUGAUGUUUUCAAAUAGCGUGCAUGGGAGAGGGAAGCCACCUCAGCUGCCAUCAAACUGAGGGAGCCGCUGCUCCCGCUGGCCUGCAGGACCGUGCUUGGCUUGGUGACAGGAACAUUGCCCAUCCUCUUCCCCUCCUGCUCACAGACCCAUCACACGCACCCAGGGCGUCUCAGGAUGGAGCUCUGAUCGCCACCUGGCCCAAGAGGCAGGCUAUGUGCUGACUCAUGCGCUUCCCGUCCACCGGCUUCUCACAACCAGCCUAGAAGCCUCUGUCACGAGCCCCCAAGUAAGCGGCUUGGCAAAUCCAGCCGGAUUCCAGAAUCACAUUCUCUGGGCCCCCUCUCUUCUCGCCCCCAAGUCAGUCUCCCUCUUGUUUGAAAAGAAUUGAGGUUUUCAAGUAAAAUCUCUUCUUGUAAAUUUCCUGGCUUUCUCUGGGUCCGUUGAAUACAUUUCAUUCUUUAUGAAAAAAAAAAAAAAACAAAAAACAAAAAAAAAAC
RNAcentral lists this long non-coding RNA (638 nucleotides) under Rattus norvegicus (Norway rat). Its description in RNAcentral is "long non-coding RNA NONRATT019155". The record is from RNAcentral. Lineage: Eukaryota; Metazoa; Chordata; Mammalia; Rodentia; Muridae.